CAGCCAAAGCAACCCAGACGGCGAGUCCUCCAAAUGAAAUUUGGAGUUCCAUGAGCGUACACUAAAACAAAGGAAAAGAAUAAAACGCAACAAAGUCUGCUGGAGCAAACUUCAAAAAUUUCUCCCGGAGCAGAUUCCAGAAGUAGCAAGUACCACGUUAUUAGAAUCCAUAAAAAUAUCUGUUUUUGUACCCAAUCGUUCUUUUCUGUCUGAAUUAUCUUGUAAAUAUUAUACGAAUAUAUAUAUAUAUAUAUCUGUCUGCCCUGCUUGCCACGUUUUUUUAUCACUUAUCAUUUUCUUUUACUUAAUAGUUUUGACGAACGUGCUUGCGUUGGGAUUUUUUUUAUAGAAAAAGUCCAAUAGGAUUAAAAAUAUUAUUACAUGCAUACAAGUAAUGUACUUGGAUGAAUAAAAUAUAAUAAUAUAUUCCAUCAAUAUUUAUAUUUAUAAUGUAUAUUUGACUUGAAUCUAAUGAGUUACGUAUAGUGUGCAACUAUGAUCAUCAUUAACUUAAAUUCUGUGCUAAAUAAACUUGGCAAAACAAUAAUAAAAUUAUUUGUAAUAUAAAAAUUAAAAAUAUUAGCUUUCAACUUUGUGAAGAGAGGUACAAUCAAAUGAUGACUUACGAACCCAAUACAAUUUUGUGUACCAAACAAUUUUGUGAUUGAUUAGAAUGACAGACAUUGUUUGAUACUUGGCAGCUGUACGACUCUCUUUAUUAAGCUCAUGUCUCAGUAAAAUGACAGACAAAUAUAGUUUUUCAGCAACUGAGACAAACAUAUAUAUAUAUAUAUAUAUAUAUAUACACAUCUAUUCUGCAACCCUCUGAGAGAUUACCAGUCAUUAGCUCCCUUUGGUACGUCCAAAAUAAUUGCAAUGGUUGUGAGAAUCGUCUUCUGCGCAUAAAGUAUCCUACUUUAAGACACUGGCAUAUUUUGAAAAGUGAGAAAGGCACAACGACACAAACACAACCCAAAGUCAAGUCAAAGGUUUUGAUGUAUUCGUAACCGACUAGGAAACCAGUUGGCAGUGUCUCAAAGCAAGCCUCAAAUAAACAAUGGAAUCACGUGCUAAUAAUUGUCAACCCUUUAGAUGAUUCUAUUGUUAAAAAAAAAAAUUAAGAGAUAUGUUAGUUUUAAGUAAUAUUUUGUUAAAAAAUAAGAGGAAGAAGAAUGAGACUAGUAGAAAGAUUCAAUUGUUCAUUUGUGAUUUUUAUUAUAAAAAAAAAAAAAAAAAACUUUUAAGUAUAUGCAUUUAUAAAUAUUAAUACAAUUUUUAAAAUUUUAAAUGUAUAUAUUAUAAUUACAAAUUUUAAAUGUAUAUAUUAGAAAAACUUAAAUUACAAUAUUUAUAAUUUUAACUUCUUAAUAAGAUAAAGAGUCAUUUUAAUUUAUAAAUUAUUAUUUUUAACUCUUUAAUUUGUACAUUAAUAUUUUCAGUAUUUUUAAAUUCACGAAUUUCUUUUUUCCUCCACAACUAGUAUAUAAUCUUUGAAAAUUUUUAAAUUUAAGUAGCUUGGUGAAAAUAUGUACAACAUGGCCUUGAGUCUUCAAGCACUCAAUCUCAAGUUUUGUUUUAGCAAUGUAAUCCCUGAUAAAAUGGAAUGUGCAUACUUCAUUUAUAAAAUACUAAAUUAUUAAUUAAUGUUUCCAUGGACUUAUUGUCAAUAGAAAUUUCAAUAGCUCUUCUUGAACCUACUUUUACAAUAUUCAGAAAUUGACAACAAAUGAUAGUUUACAAAAAAAACUCAAUAGAACUUAUGUAAAAUCAAGUGAGCACCAAAUUCAGGAAUGAAUACUAAAAAUCAUGCAAGGGGCAUGAGUAUAACAUGGCAAUAGCUCAAACGUGAAAUGUUGCAAGAUCAUUGCCAGUGCCACUUUUGCUUUUAGCACUAAGUUUUGACUAAUGCAAAUCCUGGGACCCCAUCCAAAAGGAAAGAAAGAAACUUGGUUCUUCGUCGCCUUUGAAACUCCUUCUGCAAACCUUUCUAGUUUGAAAUCAAGUGCAUCAUCACCCCAGAUCUCAGAAUCAUGGUGAACUAGGAUUAUUGGCAUUAAGAGUCUCAGUCCUGCUGGUAGUAUUAAGUUUCCAAGUCUUGUUUCUUUCUCCACUGAUCGAACAAACACCGAUAGAGGAGGGUAUAACCUCAUAACUUCAUUCAAGAUCACUGUUACCUACACCAAACAUAUUUAGUAUUCAAGUUAAGUAAUAGCAAAAGAGAUUCAAGUUGACUAAUAGCAAAAAGUGGUAGAUGUUAAGAUAUUGACCAUGAACAACAAUUCCCUAAACCCAUUAAAACAAAAUACCUUCUUACAAUAAUUAAUCCCAUCUUAACUAGCUCAAGAAAUCGGCUGAGAAAAGCACAAUAUGUUUAUGUUGAUCGUGAUCCAAAUUUCAAUUCUAUAUAGUAAAAACAAAAAUACAAUUUAAAUAUAGUAGACAUGUUAAUGAAACAACACUUUAAUUCAAAUGUGUUUUCGUGAUUUCUACUUUGACAAUCAAAAUUUAUGAAAUUUUAAUUCAAUCCAAUCAAAAUUUUCUGAGAAAUCUAUGGAACAAUAAUAAAGAAAAUAUACUUACAACUUUAAGCUGACUCAAUCCAUUAAAAUUAGGCUGCCUAUUACCAAAUACUUCCAAAACUUCAUCUCUAGCACGAGAUUGCCAAUUUGUAUGCUUGGCCAGCAGAACCAUUGUCCAAACAAGCAAUACAGAAGUGGUCUCUUGGCCUGCAAAGUAAAAUAUCUUGCACUCGUCGAUCACGUCUGCAAUGGUCAUUUCAACAUCUUUCUUUUCUUCACGUUCUUGAAUCUUUCUAGAAUUGGAUUCCAGCAAUACAGAGAGUAAGUCACUGUUGUUAACUUCCCUGCUUCCAUUGCCUUCUUUCUUUUAUCUAUGAUCCCUUUGAGUGAAUCUUGUACCUCUUUGUCAAUUGCUCUCAUAACUUAGUUGGUAGAAACCUUUAUAUAUGUAAAAUGUUAAGCUAGCGUAACAAAAAACCAAGAAAGGGAUAGCAAGUUUUAACCAAUUUAUAAAAUGAUAUUCAGAAGAAAACAGGAGCUAGCAAGCAAAUAUUCAACAGCAUGCCUCGAGAGUUGUAUUCAACAGAAUUUGUUCAAAGCUAUGUUUUGUUUCUGCCAGCGAAGUGCCUUCAAAUUUUCAGAUACUUAUAGAAAAAUUUCACACAAGAGUCAUGAAAUACACAUCCCUUUUCAUUUUCUUUUUAAGAACGUCAUGCAUUGCAUAUUUAGAUUACCUCCAUCCUAGAACAUAAACUUUUUGGCAAGCUUGGUUAUUAGUUUGGCAAGUUCAUCUUGAAGUUCAAAGAUUCUUUUCCCUUCCUCAUAGCUGCUUCCAAAUGCUAUUUGAGAAAUCAAAUCACUUGUCAAAUUAACAAGAUACGGCCAUACAUCCAACUCACACCAUCCUUCAGCAGAGACUAACUCUUCCCAUUUGCUGAUCAUAUUGCUACAACUUUUGUAGAUUGCAGGUAGCAUAUUCUGCUUAGCAAAAAGAGAAAUCAAAACUUUUUAGCUACCCAAAAUAAUAUACAAAUUUGGAUCCCCUAACAUAGCUUGCUAUCUAUCCUCAUCGAUCAGACUGAUACACACAUACCUAUAUAACCAGACUUAGGUACAUUACAACUGAAAAAUAUCUGUUAAAUAGAAGAAAAAAAAUUAAACUGAGUGAAACUGUGAAAGAACCUUUAACUUCUCAAAGUUGAAUGCUGGGGUGAUGAUUCUUCUUUGCUUGGCGCAUUUCUCCCCUUCGAGGCUUGGGAGACCACAUGUCAACGGUCUGACAAGCGGGUUGAUGGCAUUUUGCUUGGAAAAGUCAGUCCUCCUGGUAAGUAUAUCUUUUAUGUGUUCAGGGUUCAUUACAAUCAUCCUUGGCACAGGUCCAUCCCAUGAAAAACAAUUUUUCCCUGCCAUUAUUUCAAAAUCUAAUAUAACGGUAGUCUGUUAGCUUCACCAAAUCAAUUUUUAGUAUUUGGACAGGUGAGCUAUUACCGGGGAAGUUCCACUAGAACGAUGAAGUAUUACAUCUACUCUCUCCAUUUAUAACAGUUCCAAUUCGGUGUCAGAGCAAAAUUUGACUUGAUAUUCAUGUCAAAUGUUAGCUACUAGUUUCUAACACUUAGCCCAUAGCAGACUAUAUUGUAUGAGCAAAGAAGUGAUAUAACAAAUGAAACUACUACAAGUCUGCGAGUCAGUUCAAAAGAUUUUAGAAUUUCUCUUUACAUGAACAUAAGUGAUAGAAGAAAAAAGCAGAAGAAAAGGCACCAUGGUCAUUAGAAGGCAUGAUCCUACCGUACCAUAUUUCUUCACAUUGUAGUAAAAACUUGGCGCAACACAUGGUGCACAAUCAUCAGUAACGCUAUUGGAUUUGCACAACAUUGCUUUCUGUAACAUCAUGGAAUUCUCUAUCUUGUCCCCAAAAAAUAGCCGAUAGGGGUUGCCAGUUAAACCUUGUUGCCUCAGCCAUUUCUCCAGUUUCUUGGGCCUCAACCACACCCAGUUGAGCAUCCACCAUGCCCAUAUCAGUAUUGCCGUGCCUAAACAAACCCACACUUCUGCUGUCGCUGCUGAAGAUAUUUCCAUCUGAUUCAUAUUGAAAAAAAAAAAACGAAGAUAUUUGAUUUGAUCUUUCUUCCUAUAUGUAUAUAUGAAUCUGUUUCUGUUUAUACUAACAAAUUAUGUCAUCUAAUAAACAUGUCCAAUUACAUAAAACAUAAAAGACAAAGUAGACAAUUGUGAAAAGUGAAAUUAGAAAUUUAAUGUUUAAAGUAGAUAAAAGCUAAAAAAAUACAUACAUAUAGUUCAAGUUAUAUUUUGGGGAAUUAGUUUUACAAAGCAGCCAGGUGGACUUUACUGCCAAGAUCGAAGAAUUUUCAACAGAAACACACAAAAAAGCGUGUUGCUGUACAUCUGGGUUCCAACUUUUAACAUUUCGACAUAAAAAACCAAAAACCAAAAGGAAAAAAAAGGUUCCAGGCUGAAUUCAAAUGAAAAGUGGUAGAUGAAAUCCCUACUUAUACCAUGUCAAUGGACUUGCUUCCCAACAAAAUAUGAAGAUUUGGAUAAACACACACGAAGAUUCAAAACAACCAAGCACUCGGGUUUAUACUAGUUGCAUAGAUAGGACUCCAUUUGCAGAAAAGAUCACAGGAAGGGCUGAGAUUUAGAACCCUUUCCUGCUCUCUUUCAACCCAAAAGUUUUCCCAUGGUGAAAGGGAUUUCUCUGGUGUUCCAGUUUAUCAUAAAGCCAGCAGAAUACCGACAGGACUUAGAUAAAGCUAUCCAUCAAUUCACACAUGUAGGACUCGGGCAAUAACAAACAAUGGAUUGUCUGUCACAUUAAAGUCCGGAUAACUGAAAAGAAAUUGUUAAAUUGGCUCUGCUGCUGAAACCCUUGAUAACCUUCUCCUUGAGUGAUAGCUAGUGAAGAUGCUGAGGUUGCAGAAACAUUAGCAAUCAAUCUAUUGUAGCAGACUUGGCUGCUGCUGAAACUCUUGAUAACCUUCUCCUUGAGUGGUAGCUAGUGAAGAUGCUGAGGUUGCAGAAACAUUAGCAAUCAAUCUAUCAUAGCAGACUUGACCUCACGUGGAAGUGGAGGAAAGAGAAGUGAGAAGAGAUCAGGACUUUGAUUGAACAGGUGAUGAUCACACAGUGGAAGUCCGAUGUCACAUCUUGUCUUCAACAACUGCAGGACAACUUUAGCCGACUAGUUUAUAUAUAUACAUAUAUUAUGAGGUGUAAACAUAUUGAGCCAAGCAUAUAAGUCAGAUUUCACAUUAAUUAAAUUUUGUGUCAAGUCGUGUACCUAAUUAUUCUCAAAACGAAGUGAAAAAGACAAGCUUUUAGCUUGUCUAGGAGGAAAGCUGGAAUGAUGAUUCUCUAUGUGGAGCCCAUUUCAGAUCCUGGAGAAGAAAGAGCGCAGUCAACAGAAAAUUGGAGAGAGGGUUUGUAUUUAUCUUCCAGAAAUCACUGAUCUUGUCAAACCGUUCUUUCAUGUGAUCUGGAUUCAUUAUAGUCACCCUCGGCAGAGGUGUGGAUCUAAAACAAUCUUUUCCUGCCAGCAUUUUUUUCAAUUCAAAACCAAGGUUGAAGACAAACCAAUCUUAUCAGGCAGCCAGGGGAGGGAGCAUCAGACCUUCUAGACGUGGAGCAGCAUAAAACCACAGAAAAGCUGAACAACAAGAAAACAGAAUUGCACAGAAGAGCGGAUCAACAAGACAAAUAAUACAGGAUCACUUUCUAAUUCUCCUUUCUACUUGAAAGUUAUCUGGAUUAAUAUAACUAUUGGAGUGUCUACAUCAUCAAGAUUCAAGUUUUUUUUCCCCUGACAUCCUUUUCCAUAUUCUUCCAAUCAUUUAUACAACUCUACUACAGGAGAUAAUAUUUUUCAAUAAAAAUAAUACAAUCGUAGUUUCUCCACAUGGGAGACGCUGUUUCAAGCUCUACAAUGAGCAUUAAAUAAGCCAAGAAAAAAUAGAGGUAACCUAGACCAGCUUCUACUGGAGAUUUUAAUCAACAGAAGUAAAUGGAAGGAGAAGAUUGUAAUUGGUGCUAGAGUUUGCGUAAUAUCAAGUGGGCACCAUGUUGGGGACGCAUUGUGAUAACCAAGUAUGGCGCAUGAGUAUAGGAUGGGGAAAGCUCGAAUCUGAAAUGCUGUAACAUCAUUGACAAAGCCAUUUUUGCUUCUAUUAGAGCAAAGUUUUGGCCAAUACAAAUCCUAGGACCCCAUGCAAAAGGGAAGAAUGCAACUUGGUUCUUCAUAGCCUUUGAAACCCCAUCUGCAAACCUCUCCGGUUUGAACUGUCCUGCAUCCUCACCCCAAAAUGUAGGAUCACGGUGGAUGUGGAUUGUUGGCAGAGCGACUUCCACUCCAGCUGGUAGUACCAAGUCUCCAAUUCUCGUCUCUUUGUCAACUGAUCGACCAAGUCCCACAACAGGUGGAUAGAACCUCAAAACCUCGUACAAGAUCAUUGUUACCUAUACAGAAUUACACAAAAGUGCUGUCAGUAAUCCAUGGGAAUCAGUUCCAGGGAGCAUAAACAUUUUAAGUAACCUAGUUCACCAAGCAAUAAGACACAUUUUGGAAUGCAACAUACAAGGAUAAAGGAGAGGCAAAAUUGUUGGGUAUUAAACCUGAUCGUUAGUGAAAUCCAUUUUUGACAGUAAAAACAUACAAGACACUCUUUGUUGCAUUUAAGUUUUUGUUUUUUAAGAGAUUGGUAAAACAAUAUUUGAAAUGACUGAUUUUAAAUUUAAUCCGAGAAAAGAUCUAUACAUAACAAAAAGAAGAAUAAAAAUUACUUACAACUUUAAGCUGAUUCAGUCCAUCGAAGUCAGGUUUAUUUUUUCCAAAGACUUGCAAAACCUCCUCUCUUGCACGAGAUUGCCAAUUUGUAUGUUGUGCCAAUAGAACCAUUGUCCAAACAAGCAACACAGAUGUUGUCUCUUGGCCGGCAAAAUAAAAUAUCUUGCACUCUUCGAUCACGUCGUUAAUACUCAUUCCAGUAUUCUUUUUAUCUGCAUGUUCUUGAAUUUCUUUAGAAUUGGCCUCCAAAAGUAUACCUAGCAAGUCAUUCUUUGAAAACUCCCCUGCUUUCAUUGCACGUUCUCUUUUGCUGAUGAUUCCUCUUAGUGAAACUUGUAUUUCUUUGUUAAUUUCCGUAAGCCUCUUGUUAAGCUUGGUUGGAACAAAUCUGCGGAAACAAGUGAUAGUUAUGAUGAAAAAUUGGUAAAAGGAAAAGAACAUGCAUCGCCGAGCAACAUUCACUAAAACUUCGUCACAAGAAUCAUAUUCAACACAGAAUAGCUUAGAUUUACCUCAAUCCUGGAAUAUAAAAGGAUCGUAGGACUUGUCUUGUAAGUUCUGCAAGUUCAUCUUGGAGCUGAAAAAUUCUUCUGCCUUCCUGAUGGCUACUCCCAAAUGCUGUUCGAGAAAUCACAUCGCUUGUCAAAUCUGUGAGAUAAGGCCAUACAUCCACCUCACACCAUUCCUCCACAGAAACAAACUCUUCCCAUUUACUGAUCAGAUCACUGCAACUUUGGCAGAAUGCGGGCACCAUAUUCUGUCAAAUUUAUUUGAGACAGACGAUUGAAGGGAAAAAACAAUCAGACGAGAAUCAGUUAACACACAAAAAGAAAGCAAUAUGAAGCAACAAUAAGUAGAAAUACACCAAGAACCUCCCUGUUAUAACUUAAGCACUAAAAUUCUUAAUGAUUUGAUGUCUGUACUGGUAUCUAACUAGUGAUUAUGAUAACUUUUUUACCAGCAACAAUAUGUAGAAAUACACCAAGAACCUUGAGCAUUUGAUUUGGUGAAAAAGAAAAGAUAAAACCCUCUUCUAGUACCAAAUUGAGCAGAUAAAUAAGCAAACAAAUAGUGAAAAGAAAGCAGUAGAAGAAAACCUUGAGCUUCUCUAGUAGAAACGCUUGAUUAAUGAUUCUUCUAUGAGUGACCCAUUUCUCCCCCUCGCGAGUUAAAAGUCCUGUUAGCAGAUACUUAGCAAGAGGGUUCCCACCCGGUUUCUUGAAGUCAUUGAUCUUGAUAAAUACUUCUUUAAUAUGUUCUGGGUUCCUUAGAAUCACCCUCGGCACCACUCCGAGCCAUAUAAAAGUAUUUUUUCCUGCCACCAGUUUCAGAAUGUUACAGAAGAACUCAAUACCCAUCUUCACAAAAAUUGAUAGAAAUUAACAACAAAAACAUACCCUCAUAAUUAAAAUAUGGUCAAAGAGGAUAGUCAAACUCACUGUUCUUACCAUAUUUCUGCAUCAUGUUACAGAAAAAGGGGGAGACCCGAGGGACAAUAUCGUCGGUUAGGUUCAGGGGUUUGGAUAUUGCUUGUUUUGACACGUCGAACAUCUCUUUAAGAUCUCCGGAAAGAAGCCGAUAUGGGUUGCCGGAGAGACCCUGUCGUCUCAGGUACCGCUCCAGCUUCUUUGGCUUCAACCACGCCCAAUUUAGUAUUCUCCAU
RNAcentral lists this long non-coding RNA (8983 nucleotides) under Carica papaya (papaya). Its description in RNAcentral is "long non-coding RNA (CPAP_LNC007522)". The record is from RNAcentral. Lineage: Eukaryota; Viridiplantae; Streptophyta; Magnoliopsida; Brassicales; Caricaceae.